RNAcentral lists this ribosomal RNA (323 nucleotides) under uncultured eukaryote. Its description in RNAcentral is "partial 18S ribosomal RNA". It matches the Rfam family "Eukaryotic small subunit ribosomal RNA", at positions 1470 to 1796 of the family's 1831-position model. The record is from RNAcentral.
CCCUUAGAUGUUCUGGGCCGCACGCGCGCUACACUGACGAAGGCAACGAGUCCCUUGGCCGGAAGGUCCGGGUAAUCUGCUAAACUUCGUCGUGAUGGGGAUAGAUUAUUGCAAUUAUUAAUCUUCAACGAGGAAUUCCUAGUAAGCGCGAGUCAUCAGCUCGCGUUGAUUACGUCCCUGCCCUUUGUACACACCGCCCGUCGCUCCUACCGAUUGAAUGGUCCGGUGAAGCGUUCGGAUGUGUGAGGCGAGACGGUCCGCCGUCCCUCCUCGUGCAGAAGUUCGUUAAACCUUAUCAUUUAGAGGAAGGAGAAGUCGUANCA